ACUACAUUUUUAAAAGGUAUUUUUGACAAUCAUUCAAACCCUGGGAGAAAGCUGUUCAUCAUGUCAGGAAAUUCAGCUCUCUACUCAAGACCCUUGUUUGUCUAUGCAGCUGUCAUGUCAAUUAUCAUGUGUUCAGAUGCUGCUAUGAGAGCCAGUCCAAAAACAACCCAAGUGGACAAUGGAGUGAAGCACAUUGUCCUGAGACGACUGUAUAAUCCAUACAGUCAACAUCC
Long non-coding RNA from Etheostoma cragini (Arkansas darter), 233 nucleotides. RefSeq lists it as uncharacterized. The record is from RefSeq and is a predicted model, not a curated record. Lineage: Eukaryota; Metazoa; Chordata; Actinopteri; Perciformes; Percidae. The transcript has 3 exons.